UACGGGGGGAGCAAGCGUUGUUCGGAUUUACUGGGCGUAAAGGGCGCGUAGGCGGCCUCCGCAAGUCAGUUGUGAAAUCUCCGAGCUUAACUCGGAAAGGUCAACUGAUACUGCGGGGCUAGAGUGCGGAAGGGGCAACUGGAAUUCUUGGUGUAGCGGUGAAAUGCGUAGAUAUCUGAAGGAAUACCGGUGGCGAAGGCGGCAUCCUGGACCGGCAUUGACGCUGAGGAGCGAAAGCCAGGGGAGCAAACGGG
This 254-nucleotide ribosomal RNA is filed under the name uncultured bacterium. RNAcentral describes it as "partial 16S ribosomal RNA". It matches the Rfam family "Bacterial small subunit ribosomal RNA", at positions 524 to 776 of the family's 1533-position model. The record is from RNAcentral.